Molecule: ribosomal RNA, 760 nt
Filed under: Salmonella enterica
Lineage: Bacteria; Pseudomonadati; Pseudomonadota; Gammaproteobacteria; Enterobacterales; Enterobacteriaceae
Description: partial 23S ribosomal RNA
Rfam family: Bacterial large subunit ribosomal RNA
Source: RNAcentral
GUAUCCUGUCUGAAUAUGGGGGGACCAUCCUCCAAGGCUAAAUACUCCUGACUGACCGAUAGUGAACCAGUACCGUGAGGGAAAGGCGAAAAGAACCCCGGCGAGGGGAGUGAAAAAGAACCUGAAACCGUGUACGUACAAGCAGUGGGAGCACCCUUUGGGUGUGACUGCGUACCUUUUGUAUAAUGGGUCAGCGACUUAUAUUCUGUAGCAAGGUUAACCGAAUAGGGGAGCCGGAGGGAAACCGAGUCUUAAUUGGGCGUUAAGUUGCAGGGUAUAGACCCGAAACCCGGUGAUCUAGCCAUGGGCAGGUUGAAGGUUGGGUAACACUAACUGGAGGACCGAACCGACUAAUGUUGAAAAAUUAGCGGAUGACCUGUGGCUGGGGGUGAAAGGCCAAUCAAACCGGGAGAUAGCUGGUUCUCCCCGAAAGCUAUUUAGGUAGCGCCUCGUGAAUUCAUCUCCGGGGGUAGAGCACUGUUUCGGCUAGGGGGCCAUCCCGGCUUACCAACCCGAUGCAAACUGCGAAUACCGGAGAAUGUUAUCACGGGAGACACACGGCGGGUGCUAACGUCCGUCGUGAAGAGGGAAACAACCCAGACCGCCAGCUAAGGUCCCAAAGUCAUGGUUAAGUGGGAAACGAUGUGGGAAGGCCCAGACAGCCAGGAUGUUGGCUUAGAAGCAGCCAUCAUUUAAAGAAAGCGUAAUAGCUCACUGGUCGAGUCGGCCUGCGCGGAAGAUGUAACGGGGCUAAACCAUG